UUACAAGAGGCGUGAUAAGUGUUAUGUUUUACAGCUUAGAUUAUUCAAUGAUUAUGAUGAUGUUAUUGUUUUUCUCAUAUUGUUUUCAUAAAUUCCACCAAGGUAAGUGGAUGGUAAAUGUUUUCAUGUUAAUAAGCGAGUUUGUUGUAAAUUAUGCUCCAUUGGUCUUUUUGUGGUUUUCUACCCACCUUUAUCUCCGUGACGGUGAGAUAU
Molecule: long non-coding RNA, 213 nt
Filed under: Carica papaya (papaya)
Lineage: Eukaryota; Viridiplantae; Streptophyta; Magnoliopsida; Brassicales; Caricaceae
Description: long non-coding RNA (CPAP_LNC015291)
Source: RNAcentral